AACGAACGCUGGCGGCAGGCCUAACACAUGCAAGUCGAGCGAGGACUUCGGUUCUAGCGGCGGACGGGUGAGUAACGCGUGGGAAUGUGCCCUUCUCUACGGAAUAGCCCUGGGAAACUGGGAGUAAUACCGUAUACGCCCUAUUGGGGAAAGAUUUAUCGGAGAAGGAUCAGCCAGCGUUGGAUUAGGUAGUUGGUAGGGUAAUGGCCUACCAAGCCGACGAUCAAUAGCUGGUUUGAGAGGAUGAUCAGCCACACUGGGACUGAGACACGGCCCAGACUCCUACGGGAGGCAGGAGUGGGGAAUCGUGGAAAAUCGGGGCAGUCAUGAACGUGCCCUGCUGGGUAAGUGAUGUAGGCAUGAGAGUAGUAAAGCUCUUGCAGCUGGGAAGAUAAUGACGGUACCAGCAGAAGAAGCCCCGGCUAACUCCGUG
RNAcentral lists this ribosomal RNA (433 nucleotides) under uncultured bacterium. Its description in RNAcentral is "partial 16S ribosomal RNA". It matches the Rfam family "Bacterial small subunit ribosomal RNA", at positions 29 to 507 of the family's 1533-position model. The record is from RNAcentral.